This 544-nucleotide long non-coding RNA is filed under the name Panax ginseng (ginseng). RNAcentral's name for it is "long non-coding RNA (PGIN_LNC019184)". The record is from RNAcentral. Lineage: Eukaryota; Viridiplantae; Streptophyta; Magnoliopsida; Apiales; Araliaceae.
AGAUAUUAUGGAUCCGGAUCAGCCGAGCAGUUCUUACAGGACCGCUUCUAGCGUACGGCGGAGGGCUUCUGAAGUGCCUUGUCCUCGUUCUGUCAGACAGUCUCAUCGGUUGGUGGAGGCCGUGAUACGUCCUGUCCAGGCAGAUGUGCUAGACGUUGAGGACGAGGAGGCGGAUAUUCUGAUGGAGGAUCCCGCUCGUGCUGCACAUGUCCCUCGCAGGGAGCUCCUGAGCAUUCAGGUGGCAAACCCAGAGUUGCUGGGUGAUUUGAGUAGACAUCCCUCGAUGUAUUUUCAUGCUAACGAGGUAUGGCGUUAGACUUUGAUCUUCCUUCUUUCCUAUUGAUGAGGAUUAAAGGGUUCUGAUAUUGAUCUGCAUUUCAUGCAGGUUCCAGGUUUUACACAGCCUCGAGGGAACUGGUUUAGCAUUCACUCAAUGUACUAGGUGCUUCUUCCUGACUAUAGAGCGGUAGUGCAUGAGUGGGGAUUCGGGGCAUUCUUCUCCAUCCUUCCCCGUCGUUAUCCCUGGGGUUACCUCAAGGCAUUG